CAUGCAAGUCGAACGGCAGCACGGGGGCAACCCUGGUGGCGAGUGGCGAACGGGUGAGUAAUAUAUCGGAACGUGCCCUGGAGUGGGGGAUAACUAGUCGAAAGAUUGGCUAAUACCGCAUACGAUCUAAGGAUGAAAGUGGGGGAUCGCAAGACCUCAUGCUCCUGGAGCGGCCGAUAUCUGAUUAGCUAGUUGGUGGGGUAAAAGCCUACCAAGGCGACGAUCAGUAGCUGGUCUGAGAGGACGACCGGCCACACUGGGACUGAGACACGGCCCAGACUCCUACGGGAGGCAGCAGUGGGGAAUAUUGCACAAUGGGCGAAAGCCUGAUGCAGCGACGCCGCGUGAGGGAUGACGGCCUUCGGGUUGUAAACCUCUUUCAGCAGGGACGAAGCGCAAGUGACGGUACCUGCAGAAGAAGCACCGGCUAACUACGUGCCAGCAGCCGCGGUAAUACGUAGGGUGCAAGCGUUAAUCGGAAUUACUGGGCGUAAAGCGUGCGCAGGCGGUUGUGCAAGACAGAUGUGAAAUCCCCGGGCUCAACCUGGGAAUGGCAUUUGUGACUGCACGGCUAGAGUGUGUCAGAGGGGGGUAGAAUUCCACGUGUAGCAGUGAAAUGCGUAGAUAUGUGGAGGAAUACCGAUGGCGAANGCAGCCCCCUGGGAUAACACUGACGCUCA
This 680-nucleotide ribosomal RNA is filed under the name uncultured bacterium. RNAcentral describes it as "bacterial SSU rRNA". It matches the Rfam family "Bacterial small subunit ribosomal RNA", at positions 54 to 749 of the family's 1533-position model. The record is from RNAcentral.